Molecule: ribosomal RNA, 497 nt
Filed under: uncultured bacterium
Lineage: Bacteria
Description: partial 16S ribosomal RNA
Rfam family: Bacterial small subunit ribosomal RNA
Source: RNAcentral
GAUGAACGCUGGCGGCGUGCCUAAUACAUGCAAGUCGAGCGAACAGACGAGGAGCUUGCUCCUCUGACGUUAGCGGCGGACGGGUGAGUAACACGUGGAUAACCUACCUAUAAGACUGGGAUAAUUUCGGGAAACCGGAGCUAAUACCGGAUAUUAUAUUGAACGGCAUGGUUCAAUAGUGAAAGAGGGUUUGGCUGUCACUUAUAGAUGGAUCCGCGCCGCAUUAGCUAGUUGGUAAGGUAACGGCUUACCAAGGCAACGAUGCGUAGCCGACCUGAGAGGGUGAUCGGCCACACUGGAACUGAGACACGGUCCAGACUCCUACGGGAGGCAGCAGUAGGGAAUCUUCCGCAAUGGGCGAAAGCCUGACGGAGCAACGCCGCGUGAGUGAUGAAGGUCUUCGGAUCGUAAAACUCUGUUAUUAGGGAAGAACAAAUGUGUAAGUAACUAUGCACGUCUUGACGGUACCUAAUCAGAAAGCCACGGCUAACUACGUG